Molecule: RNA transcript, 3000 nt
Organism: Oreochromis niloticus (Nile tilapia)
Lineage: Eukaryota; Metazoa; Chordata; Actinopteri; Cichliformes; Cichlidae
Gene name: zinc finger and BTB domain-containing protein 14
Exons: 9
Source: RefSeq, a predicted model, not a curated record
CACAUAUAUAUACAUGUCACUUAUUGAUAAAUAUCUGAAUAAGAAAGAAGAGCAUGUGCAAAAAGGGUGUAGCUAUUGCUGUAAACUGUAAAUAUGUCAGCAGGUUAUGGAUGAAAUGGAAAAUGCAGUUAUGAUGAACACAUGAUCUGCUUCACGUCGGUUAUUACGUCGAUGUUUCCAUGAAAGAUUAGGACUGUGGACAGCUUCAGGAUGCUUCAGUGUCUCCUCUGCUUAAGGACGCACUGAAGCUCAUUUCCUUAGUAUGUGGGACAGCUCUGAUUAUGGCCGCCACACAGAUACUUCCAGGUGAUGUCUUUCAGUGAAGAGCUUUCACUAGCAAAAUGGACUCUGUUUAGUGAGGUGACAGGAAGUGACAUCAUGAACGUCAUCAUCAAAGAUGAAUCAUCAUCACGCUGAUGGUGCGAUCUCAAACAUUGACUGUUUUUAAGAAUCCAAACAAUCUGAAGGGAAAUCUUUAAAACUGCAUCGUGAGUCGGAGGAGGUCUGUGAACAUGUGACACAUGGCUCACAUGACCUGUCAGAGGAGCAGGUGAGCCUGACAGUAAAAGCCUGGUCACAUGUUUGCAGUGAAAGGCUUUUAAUUUGAAAUAAUACAGGAAGUUUAUGUAUAAGGGUUGGAGCAGGUCAGGUCUGCUGAUUGGAAGGUCGGCGGUCCGAUCUCUGGCUGCUGCAGUCUGCGUGCCCUUGUUUCUCCAGUGGAGUGUGAAUGAGUGUGAUUGGGUGAAAGAGGCACGUUGUAUAUAGCGCUCAAAGAGACGUGCUACAUAAGAACCAGUCCAUUUACCACAAACAGCAUGAUGCAGUUAAACAGACCGAACAGUAACAGGUGACCAGAGCUCACCAUAGUAACCUGUACAUAGCAGUACGGGUUGCUAUGGUAACAGACACCAUCCAGCUGUGUACUGCAACUCCAUUUACACAGUUGUAAUGUCAGAGCUGAUGUCAUCUGUGUUCAGUGUCAUGUGACGUAUCAUGUGAUCAUCUGUGACAUCAUGUGAACAGCUACAGAUGUCAUAAGAUUAAUUGUGAAAUUAAAGUUGUUCCUGAUUAGUGUUGUUAGCUAACCAUCAACACCUGGUUUAUGCUGGAGCUGGGGCAUCGCCUCGUUCAUAGCUAAAGGUAGAAAUGGUGUCCUGGAGUUCCUCUGACAUAGAACGCUGAUCAUUGAUGGUUGGAGAAGGGAUAGAUCAGAGACACGAGGAGAACCUCACAUGACUGUAAUGUAAAAACAGGUGUUGAUGAUGUCACACAUUUUGAUUGGUCAGGUGGUUUCAGUCCUGGGGGAUAAUACUAGCUGUAAGUAUCAUUACCACCUGACCAGACCAGGGUGCUUUGAACCUGAUUACGUGACCUGUACCUGUUCUCAGAUGGCGGAAACGGUGAAGUACGUGGAUGACGAACAUAAGAGCAUCUUCUUGAAGCUGCUGAACGAGCAGCGGCUGGAGGGUGAGCACUGCGACAUCGCCGUGGUCGUCGAAGACGUCAAGUUCCGUGCUCACCGCUGCGUCCUCGCCGCCUGCUCCAACUACUUUAAAAAGCUCUUCAAAAAACACGAGGUGGACAACUCAUCAGUGAUUGAGAUUGACUUCAUCCGCUCUGACAUCUUUGAGGAAGUCUUGAACUACAUGUACACGGCGAAGAUCUCUGUGAAGAAGAAGGAUGUCAACCUGAUGAUGUCAUCAGGCCAGAUCCUCGGCAUCCGCUUCCUUGACAAACUCUGCUCUCAGAAGCGAGAUGUGUCGUCGGAGGACAAGGAGAAGUUUCCCUAUGACAUCGUAAAGAUGGCGCUGCCGCCUGAGGCUCAGCUCGCGGCCGACUCAGAGGUGCUCGGUGAGCACGAUGACACGUCUGCCACAGAUGACCUUGUGGAGCCCUCGGCCAAUCCAGAGCUGGAUAAGUCUCCCAGUGCAGCGCUGCAUGUGCAAGAGGCGAUCCUAAAGGAACUGACCAAUGAGGAUGUGCACAAGGUAACCUGCUACGAUCAGGAUGUGGUGACGGAGAUGGAGGCGGAGCCUAAAGAGCUUGUUGCGGAGCAUCACGCCACACAGACGCUGACCUUCGCGGACAGCAUUGGGGAAGUGAAGGACGAGCAGCCGCCAGGCUGGUCGACGGCGACUGCUGACAUGAAGUUCGAAUACCUGCUGUACGGACACCGCGAGCAGCUCGCCUGCCAGGUGUGUGGGAAGACUUUCUUGGAUGAGAGCAGACUCAGCACGAGAAGCUUCACUCGGCUGAGCGUCCAUUCGCUUGUGAGAUUUGCACCAAAGCUUUCACCACCCACGCUCACCUGAAAGAACACCUGAAGAUCCACGCAGGUUUCAAACCCUACAGGUGUGACGUGUGCGGGAAAUCUUUCAUUCGCGCUCCGGACCUGAAGAAACAUGAACGAGUUCACAGCAACGAGCGGCCCUUCGCCUGCCAGAUGUGCGAAAAGGCUUUUAAACACAAGUCUCACCUGAAGGAUCACGAGAGGAGACACAGAGGGGAGAAACCGUUCGUCUGUCCGUCCUGCACCAAGGCCUUCGCCAAGGCGUCAGAUCUGAAGCGUCAUGAGAACAACAUGCACAGUGAGAGGAAGCAGCUGAAUCCUUUGCAGAGUGACACUGAGACACUGCAGGCUGCUGCCAUGGCUGCUGAGGAGCAACAUCUGGACUCCAUCAGCUGCUCCUAACAUCUGGACAGCCCUUUAACCUUUUCUGCUUUCACACAAACUUUGAACGGACUUUGGCUCUGUUUGGUAGGAGCCUUUUUUCCUGCGUCGAGUUGAUGCACAUGAACCAAGUGUAAGAUAAACUGAGCGGUCAUGUGACUCAAAUGUUGUCAUGUGACCUCCCUCUGGCUACAUGUGUGAUUUGUAACCUGGCGUGUUUGUCUUUUCAGUUUGAAGCAUACAUUUAUAAACUGUGUAAAUUAUAAACACUUCUGCUCAGUUUCAUGAGCAAUGAGAGAGAGAACAGUUUAAAUAAAGAUUCAACCUUA